ACACUUGUUUGUGUUUUGGGGAGAGAAAGGAAGUGGAGAACGUUCUUGCAAGAUGAUCUGUAUUUUCUCUCUAAAGCAGAGUUCAUUUGCUGAGAAUGAUGGAGAAAAUCAGCAUCUAGCUAAUCAGCUGACCAUGAGAUGCAGAGAUUAUCUGGAAUUAUCCAGAUUGGUCCAUUUAAUUACAUGAGUCCUUAAAAGUGGAAAGUGGAAGAAGAGGCAGAAGAGUGUGUCAGAGAGAUGCUGUGUGAAAAGGACUCAACCUGCCACUUGAGGCUUUGAGGCUGGAGAAAGGGGCCAUGAACCAAGGAUUGUGAGCAGCCUGUAAAAUCUGGAAAAGACAAGGCAAUACCCUUUGCUGUCUCAGGGUCAAACAUGCAACUCCUGCCUGCUUGUAUGGCCAGCUGGGUUCAAGAAGGAAGGAACCUCAUUGUUGACAGUUACCAGAUGAAUGUGCCCCUUCUGUACAGCUAAGAAAUGGAAUAGACAUUGGUAACCUUCCACAGGCCCACACAUGUGUUAUCAGCCAUACCUUAGGACAGAAGGAAUGAGUUUGCAGAAAGGAUGCUCUUCAGAACUCAUGAAGACAUAAGGUGCUUCAAAAGAGGAGACUUUCGGAACAUGAGCAGGGAAAUUGUCACUUGAUAGAUGACAAGCAUUGUGAGAAACAACAGUUUGCCUUUCUUCAUUCCCUUCCUGGUUAUCUUUCCUGUCACAUGAAGAAGAAAUGAAACACCAGAGAGAAUCAGGUUAUCAUCAUCUACACCAGCCACUGUCACUGGCCUUCAAAGUUCAACCUCCCUGGAACUCCAGAACUCCCCACUUUAUAAGAUGAAUGGCUAAUUGGAUCCUAGUACAUAAGGAAACACUGGCAAAAUAGCGGUAUAUAACAAAUGUUUCUUUUUAUGAUAGAUCUACAUCUGAAACAACGGUGAAAAAGCAUGCAUUAAAUUAAAAAGCAUAGUCUUCCAUUUGUAAGUAAUUUUGUUAUGUGCUGCUUAUGGGAGAUUGUUUAGUUAAAGCUAUAUUACUGCAAAAGAGAGGCAAACAGAGACAGCACAGCACAUUAGUAAAACACUAAAGCUUUUAAUUUCCUCAUUCAUUCAUUAAAGAAAUAUUUUCUUAGAGAUUAUGUUUGGCAAUAUGACACAUUUUUGUAGAAAAAUGCAAUGAGACAAUAAUAAAAGUUGUCUUAUAGAAACAACUUCUGCGAUUAAGAAACUUAUAAAAUUUAAGACACAAGGUAAGGUGCU
Molecule: long non-coding RNA, 1250 nt
Organism: Homo sapiens (human)
Lineage: Eukaryota; Metazoa; Chordata; Mammalia; Primates; Hominidae
Source: Ensembl